This 253-nucleotide ribosomal RNA is filed under the name uncultured bacterium. RNAcentral describes it as "partial 16S ribosomal RNA". It matches the Rfam family "Bacterial small subunit ribosomal RNA", at positions 524 to 776 of the family's 1533-position model. The record is from RNAcentral.
UACGAAGGGUGCAAGCGUUACUCGGAAUUACUGGGCGUAAAGCGUGCGUAGGUGGUGAGUUAAGUCUGUCGUGAAAGCCCCGGGCUCAACCUGGGAAUGGCGAUGGAUACUGGCUCGCUAGAGUGCGGUAGAGGAGAGUGGAAUUCCCGGUGUAGCAGUGAAAUGCGUAGAGAUCGGGAGGAACAUCAGUUGCGAAGGCGGCUCUCUGGACCAGCACUGACACUGAGGGACGAAAGCGUGGGGAGCAAACAGG